RNAcentral lists this long non-coding RNA (236 nucleotides) under Macaca nemestrina (pig-tailed macaque). RNAcentral describes it as "lncRNA (ENSMNEG00000045654.1)". Lineage: Eukaryota; Metazoa; Chordata; Mammalia; Primates; Cercopithecidae. The record is from RNAcentral.
CAGGAUUAUCCUUUUGAAGAAACAGUAUCAAGAAAAUCAUGUUCGUGUGGAAAAAAAUUACAGUUAGGUCCUUGCCUAGAAUUGAAUCUGAAAAUGUUCCCAAUAUUGAGAAGUCUCCAAAGCAGGCAUGGAAAGUGGUUCUUGAGAGAAAAGGUUGGUUUUGAAUUCCAGUGAGGCUUGGAGAGCACAAAGCUCUGCGAAUCGCAGGUGAGUCAGAGCAUUCCUGUCCCCUUAAG